RNAcentral lists this small nuclear RNA (311 nucleotides) under Vulpes vulpes (red fox). RNAcentral's name for it is "7SK RNA (ENSVVUG00000016899.1)". It matches the Rfam family "7SK RNA". Rfam says of the family: 7SK was discovered as an abundant small nuclear RNA in the mid-70s but a possible function has only recently been suggested. Two independent studies have found that 7SK RNA binds the CDK9/cyclin T complex (known as elongation factor P-TEFb). Lineage: Eukaryota; Metazoa; Chordata; Mammalia; Carnivora; Canidae. The record is from Rfam by way of RNAcentral.
AGAUGUGAGGGUGACCUGGCUGUGACACCUGUCACCCCAUUGAUCACUAGUAUUGAUUUGGUUGAUCUGCCUGACUAGGCUGGUGUCCCCUUCCUCCCUCACUGCUCCUUGUGCAUCCCCCUGGAAGCUGCACACUCGAUCAGUUGAAGAGGACUACCAUCCCCAACAGAGGAAGAUUGUUUAGAGAGGGGGGGAGAUUUGGAUGAAUGGUCCAAAGAUAUAAACUUCCAAUUGUAAGAUAAAGAAGUACCAGGGAUGUAAGUACAACAUGACAGCUAUGAUUAACACUCCUGUGGAGUAUAUUUGAAAGU